Molecule: transfer RNA, 72 nt
Filed under: Bostockia porosa
Lineage: Eukaryota; Metazoa; Chordata; Actinopteri; Centrarchiformes; Percichthyidae
Description: tRNA-Val
Rfam family: tRNA
About the family: Transfer RNA (tRNA) molecules are approximately 80 nucleotides in length. Their secondary structure includes four short double-helical elements and three loops (D, anti-codon, and T loops).
Source: RNAcentral
CAGAGCGUGGCUAAGUUAGAAAAGCGUCCCCCUUACACUGAGAAGACACCCGUGCAAAUCGGGUCGCCCUGA